ACCCCAGCAGUGAGUCAGUCACUUCAGAGUCAGUAGAGCUUCAGCCAGAGGUGAGUGGAAUAACUCUUAUGCUUUUAAAUAAAUAAACCAGUUUUAACAUGAUUCACGCAUCAUGAAUGCCAUGAGAUAAUAGGGUGUUGCAUUAGACUCACGAAUAUGUUGCAUUGCAUAUUAUGUUUGAUGAUGUGGAUGAAUGUUGAAUGAUCCAUUAGUCCCCCUAUGCUAUGAUGAUGAUGAUACGGUACGGAAGACCAGUGAGGCCCAUUCUACGCCCCUGGCACUAUGUAAGAGAAAGACCAGUGAGG
Molecule: long non-coding RNA, 305 nt
Filed under: Manihot esculenta (cassava)
Lineage: Eukaryota; Viridiplantae; Streptophyta; Magnoliopsida; Malpighiales; Euphorbiaceae
Description: long non-coding RNA (MESC_LNC010102)
Source: RNAcentral